AGGAUGAACGCUGGCGGCGUGCCUAAUACAUGCAAGUCGAGCGCCCCUUUAAGAGGUGACAAUCAUUGAUUGUCGGUUCCUAUGGGGAGCGGCGGACGGCUGAGUAACACGUGGGAACAUGCCCCAAAGUGAGGGAUAAGCACCGGAAACGGUGUCUAAUACCGCAUAUGAUCUUCGGAUUAAAGCUUUAUGCGCUUUGGGAGUGGCCUGCGUCCUAUUAGAUAGUUGGUGAGGUAAAGGCUCACCAAGUCAACGAUGGGUAGCUGGUCUGAGAGGAUGACCAGCCAGACUGGAACUGAGACGCGGUCCAGACUCCUACGGGAGGCAGCAGUAAGGAAUCUUCACAAUGGGCGAAAGCCUGAUGGAGCAACGCCGCGUGCAGGAUGAAGGCCUUCGGUACGUAAACUGUCUUUUAUGAGUGAAGAAUAUGACGUAAUCAUGAAAUAAGGUCGACUAACUACGUGCCAGCAAGCCGACGGUAAUCGUA
This 487-nucleotide ribosomal RNA is filed under the name uncultured soil bacterium. RNAcentral describes it as "bacterial SSU rRNA". It matches the Rfam family "Bacterial small subunit ribosomal RNA", at positions 26 to 529 of the family's 1533-position model. The record is from RNAcentral.